CUUGCUCCUUGAUUCAGCGGCGGACGGGUGAGUAAUGCCUAGGAAUCUGCCUGGUAGUGGGGGACAACGUUUCGAAAGGAACGCUAAUACCGCAUACGUCCUACGGGAGAAAGCAGGGGACCUUCGGGCCUUGCGCUAUCAGAUGAGCCUAGGUCGGAUUAGCUUGUUGGUGAGGUAAUGGCUCACCAAGGCGACGAUCCGUAACUGGUCUGAGAGGAUGAUCAGUCACACUGGAACUGAGACACGGUCCAGACUCCUACGGGAGGCAGCAGUGGGGAAUAUUGGACAAUGGGCGAAAGCCUGAUCCAGCCAUGCCGCGUGUGUGAAGAAGGUCUUCGGAUUGUAAAGCACUUUAAGUUGGGAGGAAGGGCAGUAAGCUAAUACCUUGCUGUUUUGACGUUACCGACAGAAUAAGCACCGGCUAACUCUGUGCCAGCAGCCGCGGUAAUACAGAGGGUGCAAGCGUUAAUCGGAAUUACUGGGCGUAAAGCGCGCGUAGGUGGUUUGUUAAGUUGGAUGUGAAAGCCC
Molecule: ribosomal RNA, 528 nt
Filed under: Pseudomonas plecoglossicida
Lineage: Bacteria; Pseudomonadati; Pseudomonadota; Gammaproteobacteria; Pseudomonadales; Pseudomonadaceae
Description: bacterial SSU rRNA
Rfam family: Bacterial small subunit ribosomal RNA
Source: RNAcentral